This 492-nucleotide ribosomal RNA is filed under the name Escherichia coli. Its description in RNAcentral is "bacterial LSU rRNA". It matches the Rfam family "Bacterial large subunit ribosomal RNA", at positions 2451 to 2925 of the family's 2925-position model. The record is from RNAcentral. Lineage: Bacteria; Pseudomonadati; Pseudomonadota; Gammaproteobacteria; Enterobacterales; Enterobacteriaceae.
AACGGAUAAAAGGUACUCCGGGGAUAACAGGCUGAUACCGCCCAAGAGUUCAUAUCGACGGCGGUGUUUGGCACCUCGAUGUCGGCUCAUCACAUCCUGGGGCUGAAGUAGGUCCCAAGGGUAUGGCUGUUCGCCAUUUAAAGUGGUACGCGAGCUGGGUUUAGAACGUCGUGAGACAGUUCGGUCCCUAUCUGCCGUGGGCGCUGGAGAACUGAGGGGGACUGCUCCUAGUACGAGAGGACCGGAGUGGACGCAUCACUGGUGUUCGGGUUGUCAUGCCAAUGGCACUGCCCGGUAGCUAAAUGCGGAAGAGAUAAGUGCUGAAAGCAUCUAAGCACGAAACUUGCCCCGAGAUGAGUUCUCCCUGACCCUUUAAGGGUCCUGAAGGAACGUUGAAGACGACGACGUUGAUAGGCCGGGUGUGUAAGCGCAGCGAUGCGUUGAGCUAACCGGUACUAAUGAACCGUGAGGCUUAACCUUACAACGCCGAAG